GAUCCGUUAGCUCAGUUGGGAGAGCGCUACCUUGACAGGGUAGAGGUCACUGGUUCGAGCCCAGUACGGGUCACCA
RNAcentral lists this transfer RNA (76 nucleotides) under Texcoconibacillus texcoconensis. Its description in RNAcentral is "tRNA-Val". It matches the Rfam family "tRNA". From Rfam's summary of the family: Transfer RNA (tRNA) molecules are approximately 80 nucleotides in length. Their secondary structure includes four short double-helical elements and three loops (D, anti-codon, and T loops). Further hydrogen bonds mediate the characteristic L-shaped molecular structure. tRNAs have two regions of fundamental functional importance: the anti-codon, which is responsible for specific mRNA codon recognition, and the 3' end, to which the tRNAs corresponding amino acid is attached (by aminoacyl-tRNA synthetases). tRNAs cope with the degeneracy of the genetic code in two manners: having more than one tRNA (with a specific anti-codon) for a particular amino acid; and 'wobble' base-pairing, i.e. permitting non-standard base-pairing at the 3rd anti-codon position. RNAcentral also lists the same sequence under 3 other names. The record is from RNAcentral. Lineage: Bacteria; Bacillati; Bacillota; Bacilli; Caryophanales; Bacillaceae.